Molecule: transfer RNA, 77 nt
Filed under: Desulfuromonadales bacterium
Lineage: Bacteria; Pseudomonadati; Thermodesulfobacteriota; Desulfuromonadia; Desulfuromonadales
Also listed under: 1 other name
Description: tRNA-Arg
Rfam family: tRNA
About the family: Transfer RNA (tRNA) molecules are approximately 80 nucleotides in length.
Source: RNAcentral
GGCUCCGUAGCUCAGAUGGAUAGAGCAACCGCCUCCUAAGCGGUAGGCCAUGCGUUCGAAUCGCAUCGGGGCCACCA